CCCUUAGAUGUUCUGGGCCGCACGCGCGCUACACUGACGGAGGCAGCGAGCAUGUCCUUCGCCGGCAGGUGCGGGCAAUCUUGCGAGUCUCCGUCGUGCUGGGGAUAGAUGGUUGCAAUUGUCGAUCUUGAACGAGGAAUUCCUAGUAAGCGCGAGUCAUCAGCUCGCGCUGAUUACGUCCCUGCCCUUUGUACACACCGCCCGUCGCUACUACAGAGUGCCCGUGUCCAAGAAACGGUCGGACCUGUGCGGCCUCUCCGGGCGACCGGAGGGCCGUUACGGGGAAGACCCUUUAUUUGACGCGGGUCGAUGAAGUAAAAGUCGUAACA
Molecule: ribosomal RNA, 329 nt
Filed under: uncultured eukaryote
Lineage: Eukaryota
Description: partial 18S ribosomal RNA
Rfam family: Eukaryotic small subunit ribosomal RNA
Source: RNAcentral